This 306-nucleotide unclassified non-coding RNA is filed under the name uncultured Rhizophydiales. RNAcentral's name for it is "sequence contains ITS2". Lineage: Eukaryota; Fungi; Chytridiomycota; Chytridiomycetes; Rhizophydiales. The record is from RNAcentral.
AACGCACAUUGCACUCUGUUUCGGCAGAGUAUGCCUGUUUGAGAAUCUAUAGUAUUUAUUCUCCUUCCUUAGACUUUAACUAGUCUUCUGCGGGAGAGAUUUGGGGUUUCUGCAUUAGCAGUGCCUUUAAUUCUAUAGUUGACUCUGUAGUCUCUAGCAACGGUUUAGAAUAGUGUCUGACACUUUUGCGACUGUUACUGAAAUUACUUUUAGUAGUCGACCUUUAACUUUUACUACGGUAAAAGUUUAUAAGACUCUGUCUUGAACCAUGGUCUCAAAUCAGGUAGGAAGACCCGCUGAACUUAA